RNAcentral lists this ribosomal RNA (510 nucleotides) under uncultured bacterium. Its description in RNAcentral is "partial 16S ribosomal RNA". It matches the Rfam family "Bacterial small subunit ribosomal RNA", at positions 28 to 507 of the family's 1533-position model. The record is from RNAcentral.
GACGAACGCUGGCGGCGUGCUUAACACAUGCAAGUCGAACGAAGAGCGACGGAAGCUUGCUUCUAUCAAUCUUAGUGGCGAACGGGUGAGUAACGCGUAAUCAACCUGCCCUUCAGAGGGGGACAACAGUUGGAAACGACUGCUAAUACCGCAUACGAUCUAAUCUCGGCAUCGAGGAUGGAUGAAAGGUGGCCUCUACAUGUAAGCUAUCACUGAAGGAGGGGAUUGCGUCUGAUUAGCUAGUUGGAGGGGUAACGGCCCACCAAGGCGAUGAUCAGUAGCCGGUCUGAGAGGAUGAACGGCCACAUUGGGACUGAGACACGGCCCAGACUCCUACGGGAGGCAGCAGUGGGGAAUCUUCCGAAAUGGACGAAAGUCUGACGGAGCAACGCCGCGUGAGUGAUGACGGCCUUCGGGUUGUAAAGCUCUGUUAAUCGGGACGAAAGGCCUUCUUGCGAAUAGUGAGAAGGAUUGACGGUACCGGAAUAGAAAGCCACGGCUAACUACGUG